AGUUUUUUGUUUUUUAAUAAAAAAUGUUUUCUGCUCGGUGAUUUUUAACAGCUGCGGUAAUUUGACCGUGCAAAGGUAGCAUAAUCAUUUGCUUCAUAAUUGGAGGCUUGUAUGAAUGGAAUUACAAGAUUUUUGCUUUAUUAGAAAGAGAUUAAAAAUUUGCUUUUUUAGUGAAGAAGCUAAAAUUUUUUUAUGGGACAAGAAGACCCUUUUGAGCUUUACUAAAUUUUUUUUUUUAAAAAAAAAUUUAGUUUGGUUGGGGCGACCAAGGAAGGUGAAUCUUCCUUUAUUUACUUUGAUCCAUGGAUUAUGAUUGAUGGAAUAAGUUACCAAAGGGAUAACAGCGUAAUUUUUUUUGUGAGUUCUUAUUUAAAAAAAAGAUUGCGACCUCGAUGUUGACUUAAAUUUUCCUUUUGGUGCAGUAGUUAAAAUGGUAAGUCUGUUCGACUUUUAAAAUUUU
RNAcentral lists this ribosomal RNA (460 nucleotides) under Prosadenoporus floridensis. Its description in RNAcentral is "partial 16S ribosomal RNA". It matches the Rfam family "Bacterial large subunit ribosomal RNA", at positions 1817 to 2597 of the family's 2925-position model. Lineage: Eukaryota; Metazoa; Nemertea; Enopla; Monostilifera; Prosorhochmidae. The record is from RNAcentral.